This 496-nucleotide ribosomal RNA is filed under the name uncultured bacterium. Its description in RNAcentral is "partial 16S ribosomal RNA". It matches the Rfam family "Bacterial small subunit ribosomal RNA", at positions 29 to 507 of the family's 1533-position model. The record is from RNAcentral.
ACGCACGCUGGCGGCGUGCCUCAUACAUGCAAGUAGAACGCUGAAGAGAGGAGCUUGCUCUUCUUGGAUGAGUUGCGAACGGGUGAGUAACGCGUAGGUAACCUGCCUGGAAGCGGGGGAUAACUAUUGGAAACGAUAGCUAAUACCGCAUAAAAUUGAUUAUUGCAUGAUAAUUAAUUGAAAGAUGCAACUGCAUCACUACCAGAUGGACCUGCGUUGUAUUAGCUAGUUGGUGAGGUAACGGCUCACCAAGGCGACGAUACAUAGCCGACCUGAGAGGGUGAUCGGCCACACUGGGACUGAGACACGGCCCAGACUCCUACGGGAGGCAGCAGUAGGGAAUCUUCGGCAAUGGGGGGAACCCUGACCGAGCAACGCCGCGUGAGUGAAGAAGGUUUUCGGAUCGUAAAGCUCUGUUGUAAGAGAAGAACGGGUGUGAGAGUGGAAAGUUCACACUGUGACGGUAUCUUACCAGAAAGGGACGGCUAACUACGUG